UGCUCUGCUGUUUGUUGUCUUGGGAGCGUCGGUGCUUCAUCACACGCUGAGCUGCGUGUGUGCGCGUGUGUGUCGCCGCAGCGUGCGGCGGUCAAGGUGAUGGCGUGGUAGAGAAUGCACCCUUUUAAGGCGUGCCGACCCACUUUCUUCCCCCCUCUUGUCUCGAUUCUCAUCAUUCUCUUUCUCUCUCUCGCUGCCCUUCGUGUGCGUUUUCGCUGCGCUCCGGCGUGUGCUUGACGUUGUCUUCCUAAAGGCAUGCCUACUUGUGCUAGAAUGUGAAGGAUGGCGCGACUUGUUCGAGCGAAGACGCUGCUGUUGCUUUUUCACCGACAACCUCCACCCACCCCUCUCCCUACCACCACCACCACCUCCUCCUUCUCCUCCUCGACGUUUGAACUCCGAGAAGUGCCGCGCCAUUCCUCGUUCUCAUCAAAGAGCUGUUUCCUCAAAAGACCUAUUCACUGAUCCGUUCUAAUUUUCCCUUUUCUCUCGUUGUUGUCUGAUUCGCUCUUUCUCUUUUUGCUUCUCUAUGCCUUUGUCUCUCCACUCCUUUCCUUUCCUCCAUGCUGCUUCCCUGCUCGUUCUUCCCUCCGUAAGGGAGAGGAGAGUUCUGGAAAUCGCUGCCUGCACGUCAGAUGGGCGCCCCUGUACUUCCGUUCUCAGCGCUUGUCGUUUCUUCCCUUGACCAGCGCUGUGUGUGUGUGGGGGGGGGGGUGGAGGGGGCGAAACAGACAUGCGGUGUACACUCGUUGACCUCCGAAGACGGGAAGAGCACACGCACAUGCAAAUGCGAAGGUAACCACCCACAUUCCGUGGCCUACACACCCACCGAGCCAAGGUUUUUUUUUCUCUGUUCUUCGCUAGUUUAACCAAAGCCGUGCGGCGGGGUCACCCCUACACACAGAGAGGCACGCUCUCACACGGGUGUUGCACAACAUCAAUGGAAAGAUUACACUGAAGAAAGAUGAAAGCAGCGCCUGCAAUUUGUGCAGACUCAGACGUCUUCCCCCUCCCCCUGCGCGCUCUCUCUGUUGUGUGUUUCUUCCGAAGUAUUUUUCUUCUCUCCUGCUUGCCCUUCUUUUGUUGAAUGGAAGACGCGCUCGCCGUGGUAUCCGUAGGUCUCGUACGCCUUUUGGUGGGUGCUUCCCUGACGGAGGUGGAUGCCGCGGCGUGGCGUGAGGCGCGCGUUUGUGUCUCUUUCUCUCCCGAGAAAUGAAAGAGAAGGCCUUUGCUCGCACAGACGCCGGACUUUACCGGCAGACGCGGCGAGAGGAGGGAGAAGAGCAGACACGGACAGGGACGGUAAACGGGAGACUCUCACGCAAGAAUGAGCACUCUGCGCUUCUCUUACAUCACCCGCAACAACACCAAAGUGCGGCAGUGUAAAAGCGCGCAAAACCCAAUGCGGAAAGUAAAUGCGAGCGCUGUCCGACCUCUCCCCCUUUUUGUUUCGACACUAGUGCUAUCACCGUACAUGUUUCCCUAGUUCAUUACUAUUUCCCCUUUUCAGACAGCCGCUGCACCCCCGUUCACGUUCCGCUUUUGCUUUUUUUUUCGUUUUAUUUUUAGUUUCUCUCUGACUGGUGAGCAGUUCCACUUCGGUUUCCAUGCCUUGACUCUUCUCUGUUUCUCUCUCUUGUUUCACCACUGUGGAUGCCCCUCUUUUUCUCUCUCGCGCUCCUUUUUCUUGUCCUUUCCUCGCCGAUGAUGCUUUCACCUGCUGACGAAUGUGAGCCACACGCAGCGAGACGACCCCUUUCCCACCGAAUAAAAAAAAACGCACAACACACACACACACACACGCACGCACUCUCCUCCAUACACACGCAGACACGGACUGACGGGUCAGUCGAAAGAUUACUUUUCUAUUUAUUGUUUUUUUUCUCGCCGACCGAUUUCCCUCCUUUUCGCUUACAGAAUCAUCGCUGCCCCCUCUUAAAGUCUUCUCAUCGCUGUCUGUCUCCAUGAUGCAUUUUUUUUCAUUCGUCUUUCUUUGGUUCGGUUUUUCUUUCCCUGUUUCUUCUUUUACCAUGCCGUUGUGUGAUGGGUUGCUCGACACGGCGCACGCGCACACGAGCACCCCCGCUCCACAGAAAAAUCAGCAUCCACUCCCAUGCCAAAGAAGAGGCGACGAGGCCACGCACGCACACACACAACGAGGAAAGGAGGCAACAGAGGUUCAGAGGAUAGUGAGCUCAGAAAAAGAACACGCGGAUGACAGGGACGGAGAAAGAACACGCUCAGAAUGCAGCAAGGAAAAGGCGUAAGAGACAAAACGGUUAUCGUAGCGCAUAUAUGAGGCAAAACAGGAGUGAGAGGCACUCACUGCACGACAAAGCAGAGGUAAAAACUAACGUGGCAAGCACACAGAAUUAUACACACGCUCGCAGAAAACACUCACACAACUCUCGGCGCGGGACGAGUCGCUGGCACGGCUGGGGAAAGCGAGACGGGGCCACACUCCUCUCUCACGCAGAAGCGUAGUGCUUCAGUGUGGGACAUGCCACCAGCACAGCUUCGAGUAGCACCGUCCCUCCUUCUUUCCGUCUUCCCUCCACCUGUCCCCCUUCGUGCACCUCCCCUUCCUCUUGCUUACUCG
Molecule: unclassified non-coding RNA, 2599 nt
Filed under: Leishmania donovani
Lineage: Eukaryota; Euglenozoa; Kinetoplastea; Trypanosomatida; Trypanosomatidae
Description: gene:unknown
Source: RNAcentral